This 491-nucleotide ribosomal RNA is filed under the name uncultured bacterium. RNAcentral describes it as "partial 16S ribosomal RNA". It matches the Rfam family "Bacterial small subunit ribosomal RNA", at positions 29 to 506 of the family's 1533-position model. The record is from RNAcentral.
AGUGAACGCUGGCGGUAUGCCUAACACAUGCAAGUCGAACGGCAGCACAGUAAGAGCUUGCUCUUACGGGUGGCGAGUGGCGGACGGGUGAGGAAUACAUCGGAAUCUACUUUUUCGUGGGGGAUAACGUAGGGAAACUUACGCUAAUACCGCAUACGACCUACGGGUGAAAGCAGGAGAUCUUCGGACCUUUCGCGAUUGAAUGAGCCGAUGUCGGAUUAGCUAGUGGGCGGGGUAAAGGCCCACCAAGGCGAGGAGCCGUAGCUGGCCUGAGAGGAUGGCCGGCCAAACUGAAACUGAGACACGGUCCAGACUCCUACGGGAGGCAGAGGUGGGGAAUAUAGGACAAUGGGCGAAAGCCUGAGCCAGCCAUACGGCGGGGGUGAAGAAGGCCUUCGGGUUGUAAAGCCCUUUUGUUGGGAAAGAAAAGCAGCAGGUUAAUACCCCGCUGUUCGGACGGUACCAAAAGAAUAAGCACCGGCUAACUUCGU